AUACCUUUCUCGGCCUUUUGGCUAAGAUCAAGUGUAGUAUCUGUUCUUAUCAGUUUAAUAUCUGAUACGUGGGCCAUCGGUUCACAGGAUAUUAAAUUAAUUUUUCUUGGGGGUGGGCCCUUAACAGUAGCUGGCUACUGGGGUCUUCGCGCGUCUCUCUUUCUUUGCACUACUGCACGGGCCUGGCGCACCUCUA
RNAcentral lists this small nuclear RNA (196 nucleotides) under Nelumbo nucifera (sacred lotus). RNAcentral's name for it is "U2 spliceosomal RNA". It matches the Rfam family "U2 spliceosomal RNA". Rfam says of the family: U2 is a small nuclear RNA (snRNA) component of the spliceosome (involved in pre-mRNA splicing). Complementary binding between U2 snRNA (in an area lying towards the 5' end but 3' to hairpin I) and the branchpoint sequence (BPS) of the intron results the bulging out of an unpaired adenosine, on the BPS, which initiates a nucleophilic attack at the intronic 5' splice site, thus starting the first of two transesterification reactions that mediate splicing. The record is from Rfam by way of RNAcentral. Lineage: Eukaryota; Viridiplantae; Streptophyta; Magnoliopsida; Proteales; Nelumbonaceae.